UGGGGAAUAUUGCACAAUGGGCGCAAGCCUGAUGCAGCCAUGCCGCGUGUGUGAAGAAGGCCUUCGGGUUGUAAAGCACUUUCAGCGAGGAGGAAGGUGGUGAACUUAAUACGUUCAUCAAUUGACGUUACUCGCAGAAGAAGCACCGGCUAACUCCGUGCCAGCAGCCGCGGUAAUACGGAGGGUGCAAGCGUUAAUCGGAAUUACUGGGCGUAAAGCGCACGCAGGCGGUUUGUUAAGUCAGAUGUGAAAUCCCCGGGCUCAACCUGGGAACUGCAUUUGAAACUGGCAAGCUAGAGUCUCGUAGAGGGGGGUAGAAUUCCAGGUGUAGCGGUGAAAUGCGUAGAGAUCUGGAGGAAUACCGGUGGCGAAGGCGGCCCCCUGGACGAAGACUGACGCUCAGGUGCGAAAGCGUGGGGAGCAAACAGGAUUAGAUACCCCUGGUAGUCCAGCGCUGUAAACGAUGUCGAUUUGGAGGUUGUGCCCUUGAGGCGUGGCUUCCGGAGCUAACGCGUUAAAUCGACCGCCUGGGGGAGUACGGCCGCAAGGUUAAAACUCAAAUGAAUUG
RNAcentral lists this ribosomal RNA (568 nucleotides) under uncultured bacterium. Its description in RNAcentral is "partial 16S ribosomal RNA". It matches the Rfam family "Bacterial small subunit ribosomal RNA", at positions 355 to 912 of the family's 1533-position model. The record is from RNAcentral.